CACACGACUCUCGGCAACGGAUAUCUCGGCUCUCGCAUCGAUGAAGAACGUAGCAAAAUGCGAUACCUGGUGUGAAUUGCAGAAUCCCGCGAACCAUCGAGUUUUUGAACGCAAGUUGCGCCCGAAGCCUCUUGGCCGAGGGCACGUCUGCCUGGGCGUCACGC
Molecule: ribosomal RNA, 164 nt
Filed under: Garnotia stricta var. longiseta
Lineage: Eukaryota; Viridiplantae; Streptophyta; Magnoliopsida; Poales; Poaceae
Description: 5.8S ribosomal RNA
Rfam family: 5.8S ribosomal RNA
About the family: 5.8S ribosomal RNA (5.8S rRNA) is a component of the large subunit of the eukaryotic ribosome. It is transcribed by RNA polymerase I as part of the 45S precursor that also contains 18S and 28S rRNA. Functionally, it is thought that 5.8S rRNA may be involved in ribosome translocation.
Source: RNAcentral